GAUCAUGGCUCAGGAUGAACGCUGGCGGCGUGCCUAAUACAUGCAAGUCGAACGAAGAGAAAUAGCUAAGCUUGCUUAGCAAUGGAUCUUAGUGGCGAACGGGUGAGUAAUACAUAAAUAACCUGCCUCGACGUCUGGGAUAACAGUUGGAAACGACUGCUAAUACCGGAUAAGUUACCUGAAGGCAUCUUCAGAAAACAAAAGAUGGGAUACAUCGCAUCGAGAUGGAUUUA
Molecule: ribosomal RNA, 233 nt
Filed under: uncultured bacterium
Lineage: Bacteria
Description: partial 16S ribosomal RNA
Rfam family: Bacterial small subunit ribosomal RNA
Source: RNAcentral